AGCAGCCGCCACGGGAAUACGGAGGGUGCAAGCGUUAUCCGGAUUUAUUGGGUUUAAAGGGUCCGUAGGCGGAUCUGUAAGUCAGUGGUGAAAUCUCACAGCUUAACUGUGAAACUGCCAUUGAUACUGCAGGUCUUGAGUAAAUUUGAAGUGGCUGGAAUAAGUAGUGUAGCGGUGAAAUGCAUAGAUAUUACUUAGAACACCAAUUGCGAAGGCAGGUCACUAAGAUUUAACUGACGCUGAUGGACGAAAGCGUGGGGAGCGAACAGGAUUAGAUACCCCCGUAGUCCCUGUCUCUUAUAC
Molecule: ribosomal RNA, 303 nt
Filed under: uncultured bacterium
Lineage: Bacteria
Description: partial 16S ribosomal RNA
Rfam family: Bacterial small subunit ribosomal RNA
Source: RNAcentral